GGCCGGCCGCGCGGAGUUUUGCUGCCCUGAGUGGCGGGCGGAAGCUUGUUGUUGAGGGCAGACGUCCAGUACUAUACUCUUCUGUAAUCCUCUUUAUCUCACGUAUCCGUGCCGCCAGCGCCCGAGGGGCCAGUGACUUUCGAUGAUGUGGACGUGGGCUUCCGAAAUGAAGAGUGGACUCGCCUGGCCUGCCCUCAGAAGACUUUCUUUACACGGAGUGAUGCUGAAGAAUUAUGGGAACGCCAUCGCACUGAGUAAGGACUUCGCUGUGACCCGACUGGUCUGACUGCAAGGCCUACCUGCAGUUUCUCACUGACCGUGGCUCGGUCUUUUCUCCACAUUUCCCCGCUCGUGUGGUGGACGCCUCAGCGUCUGCAGAGUUUUCAGAGCUUCAGACCUUAUGAAUAGCUGAGCUCAAGCUUCUUCUGUUUCUGGUUUUUGUUUUAGUAUUUAUUUCUUCUUUAUAUUGUUUAUGUUUAUGCCAGACGAAAGGCUUGGAAUUUGCUUGUGACUUGGCUUGAAAUGUCCCUUAUUGGUAUGCCAAGCCCUCUUUUUGUGGAAGUGCUGCUGGGCCCUGAGGCAAGAUAUUUCUUUUCUUUUCUUUUUUUUUUUCUCCUAAGUAAACUCUGCCCCUAAGGUGAGGAUGAGACUCAGGACCCUAAGAUCAAGAGCCAUUAACAGUGGGCAGUUUUCUAAGCGCUCUCAGCGCGUGCCUUUCUCCCACCUGGAGCUCUGUGUAAGCAUUCCGGCUGACUGGGAAGUCAUAGGGACCUCUCAGCCCAGGGAAUAGGAAGAGGACUGGGAAGUCAGCCUGACCAGAUAGACCGUUUUGCCGAUGAAAGAGGAAGACCUUCCGCAGUGGCUUGGAGGGCCCGGAGCCCAUUCCUCUUCUACUCUCCUGGCUCUCGGUGAUUGGGCCCUGGCCUAGUACAGGAUUGAUGGACUCCCUGCGAUCCAGACAGCCGGCGUCACUCUUAGAGAUUUGCUAAAGGCAGAAAGAGUAACUGCAACCACCAGACAUUUAAACAGUUGGACGUUUAUUGCUGAUAAAGUUACUUUAAACAUUUGAUUGUCAAAUUCUGUUUAAAUAUGAAAUCCAAUAAGGGAUGCCCGGGUGGCUCAGUCAGUGAGGUGUUCCACGCUUGAUUUCGGCUCAGGUGAUCUCACUGUUUGUGAAA
This is a long non-coding RNA of Suricata suricatta (meerkat), 1178 nucleotides long. RefSeq lists it as uncharacterized. The transcript has 3 exons. The record is from RefSeq and is a predicted model, not a curated record. Lineage: Eukaryota; Metazoa; Chordata; Mammalia; Carnivora; Herpestidae.